Molecule: ribosomal RNA, 490 nt
Filed under: uncultured bacterium
Lineage: Bacteria
Description: partial 16S ribosomal RNA
Rfam family: Bacterial small subunit ribosomal RNA
Source: RNAcentral
AUUGAACGCUGGCGGCAGGCCUAACACAUGCAAGUCGAACGGUAACAGGAAGAAGCUUGCUUCUUUGCUGACGAGUGGCGGACGGGUGAGUAAUGUCUGUGAAACUGCCUGAUGGAGGGGGAUAACUACUGGAAACGGUAGCUAAUACCGCAUAACGUCGCAAGACCAAAGAGGGGGACCUUCGGGCCUCUUGCCAUCGGAUGUUCCCAGAUGGGAUUAGCUAGUAGGUGGGGUAACGGCUCACCUAGGCGACGAUCCCUAGCUGGUCUGAGAGGAUGACCAGCCACACUGGAACUGAGACACGGUCCAGACUCCUACGGGAGGCAGCAGUGGGGAAUAUUGCACAAUGGGCGCAAGCCUGAUGCAGCCAUGCCGCGUGUAUGAAGAAGGCCUUCGGGUUGUAAAGUACUUUCAGCGGGGAGGAAGGGAGUAAAGUUAAUACCUUUACUCAUUGACGUUACCCGCAGAAGAAGCACCGGCUAACUCCGUG